CAGGGGGUGGGGAGCAACAGGGCCUUAUCUGUGUUCCUAAAAUAGUGAUCCUUCUGAGACAUAGAGGGACAGCUGGGACCAGGACAAGAAAGGAUGAGAGAAGCAGACCAGUUAGGAUUGCAUCGCAGCCCCCAGGGACUCCAUGAGAUGAUGGAUCAUCCCCAUGCUUCAGAUGAGGAAGAGGAGGCCCGGAGGCAGCAGAAGUUCCUAACCACUGUGUCACACUGCCCCCUGCUGAGCACCUACUAAGUGCCAGGCUUAGAAAACAAUGGUGUUUGAGACAUGCCCAGGAGUUUCUCCUCUGGUCGGGCAAGCUCAUGGAUUUGUGCCUCUCCUGCAACCAACUGAGGGAGGAGAUGCCAUGAGCUUUUGUUCCAGGUAUUGGAGAUACAGCAGUGAAGAAAGCUGACAAGAACUCCUGUUCUUUUGGACUUCACCAUUGGAAUGAAGGUCACAGAUAAUAAAUUUAAGAAGUAAAGGUGCAUAUUCUGUAUCAGUGAGGGAUCACUCACCAGACUUCAAUUAACUUGACCAUUUCCUGCUUGGGACACUCUUGGCUUUGGUGAUCCAACACUCUUGCUUCUCUUCUUCCCAAUCUGGUUGAUUUUUUUUUUCUUCAGUCCUCUUUGUCAACCUUUUUCCCCCCCUUUUUGUUGGUUACUUCAGGUUGAAGUCCUUCAGGAUUUUGCUUUAAUUGCUUUUUUUGUAUUCUUUUCAUUCAUUUAUUUGGCCCUCGCUUGUGUAUAUUCUAUUUUAUUCCUAGAUGAAUUUUUAAAAAAUAUUCCUUAUUGUUUCAACCACCACUAGAUCCCAGUGAUGCUAAAACUGAUGAAUCAAACCCCAGAGAUGGGUUUAUUGUAAAUCUAAGGAGGUUGUUGUGGUUGUGCCAGGCCACUCUCUUCAUGGACUUCUGUGAGUGUUGCAAGUUUCCAGGGAUUGAUUGUACAAUGUCUCAGAUGUGGAGUGAAAGAGGAGUUACAACCAAGGAGCAUUUCCUUGGAAGCAUUCCUGGCAAAUCAUCUAAAGAAAUUUUAGAAGGAAAGAAACUGAGUAUGAUUAGAGUAAUUUGUAAUAACUUCUU
Long non-coding RNA from Canis lupus familiaris (dog), 1081 nucleotides. RefSeq lists it as uncharacterized. The transcript has 3 exons. The record is from RefSeq and is a predicted model, not a curated record. Lineage: Eukaryota; Metazoa; Chordata; Mammalia; Carnivora; Canidae.